This is a long non-coding RNA of Ruditapes philippinarum (Manila clam), 869 nucleotides long. RefSeq lists it as uncharacterized. NCBI's taxonomy places the organism in Eukaryota, Metazoa, Mollusca, Bivalvia, Venerida, Veneridae. The record is from RefSeq and is a predicted model, not a curated record. The transcript is spliced from 3 exons.
CAUGCAAUACCCAGUGCCUUAACGAUGAAAGUAUAUCACAACAAUUUCUUAUUCCGGAUACUGUCAUUGCAAAGAUUUAUACGAAGGAAGAUGCUGUGAAGAACGUAAACCAACUAAAGAGGAACCAAAUGGUUUGAAUGGCUGUCAUGAUAUAUGCAGUUGGUCACCAUGGGGACUAUGGACUGAAUGUAGCGUUUCCUGUGGCGGUGGUGGAUUGCAACAAAGAGAAAGACGUUUGUGUUGUUUACUGGAAUAUGGAAGAUUUGAAAGUUGUGCAUCACAAUGUCACAUAGAGAACGCUAAUUGUCUUCAGGAGCAAGUAUGUGGAAAAGAGUGUUUAAAUAGUGGAACAUUAAAUAAUGAUGGUUUUGGAUGCCAAUGCCUUAAUAGGACCUUUGGUCAUUGCUGUGAGGAAAUAUUACCAGGAUGUACACCUUUUCCUACGGAUGUCAUAUUUGUACUUGAUUCUGCUGUCAGUCAAACAGAAAACAAUUUCAUGCACAGUUGGAAUUUGUGAUUAAGUUCGUCGAGAAAGUAAAAAUUAGUACGGAGGAAUUUCAGAUUGCUGUUAUAACAUACUCUACUGAAGCAAAAAUAGAAAUCACCUUCAACCAGUCAGUUGACAAACAUGUCUUGCAAAGCUUGAUCCAGAAUAUCAGGUUUCGGCCUGGUGUCAUAUUUACCAAUAAAGGGUUAAAAUUUUCUAUGGAGGUAGCAAGAAAAAGCGAAAGUCGUAAAGGAAUAGUGACAUUAACGUAUGCAUUUGUUCUAACAGAUGGCAUGUCUAACAAUCGAAAGGAAACAAGAAUAGCUGCGAGAGAAUUGAGAAAUGCUGAGGUUCACGUUGUGGUUAUAGGUAUACAAAUUUA